AGAGUACGUGAAACCGUUCAGGGGUAAACCUGAGAAACCCGAAAGGUCGAAAGGGGAAAUUCAUUCGCGUUUCGGCAGUCGGCGUUGGAUGGUCGAGUGACGGAUGGCGUACGCGUCGUCCGCGCCUUCCUUCCUUCGAACCGGCGUCGAACGCGUGCACUUUUCGCCUAGUAGGACGUCGCGAUCCGUUGGGUGUCGGUCUAAGGCCCGUAGUGGAGCCCGUGCGGAAGUUUCGGCUUCCGCUCGGACCUGCGGUGUCCCGGCCGACUCGCUCGACGGUAUACAGAUGGCGAGGGGCCGCUACUCAGUUAGCGUUCGGCCUGCGGCAAGCGCGUUCGGUGUUUGACGGCGAUCGGACCUGGUGCCGGUCCUGUCCCCGAACGACUGUUGGCCGUGGUGUUCUCGAACAGACCUCGAAACGAAACGCCGAUCUGCGACGCUAUAGCUUUGGGUACUUUCAGGACCCGUCUUGAAACACGGACCAAGGAGUCUAGCAUGUGCGCGAGUCAUUGGGACAUAACUAAACCUAAAGGCGCAAUGAAAGUGAAGGUCCGCCUUGCGCGGACCAAGGGAGGAUGGGCGGUUCGCCCUUAAAAGCGGCCGCUCCGCACUCCCGGGGCGUCUCGUUCUCAUUGCGAGAAGA
This 643-nucleotide ribosomal RNA is filed under the name Anastrangalia scotodes. Its description in RNAcentral is "partial large subunit ribosomal RNA". It matches the Rfam family "Eukaryotic large subunit ribosomal RNA", at positions 392 to 788 of the family's 3401-position model. Lineage: Eukaryota; Metazoa; Arthropoda; Insecta; Coleoptera; Cerambycidae. The record is from RNAcentral.